RNAcentral lists this long non-coding RNA (1128 nucleotides) under Homo sapiens (human). RNAcentral's name for it is "non-protein coding lnc-CCDC90B-4:1". Lineage: Eukaryota; Metazoa; Chordata; Mammalia; Primates; Hominidae. The record is from RNAcentral.
GAAAAAACGAAGAACAACAACUUACAACUUACCUUUCUACUUUUGAGGAGACUGGGAGUCACAGAGUCCCUGCCACAAGGUGGAGGGGUAACAGAUUUGAUUGGAAGCAGUGAGUUAUAAAUGGUGCUGUGUCCUCUAGCCCUCUAACCAACACAUGACUGUACAGCUGGCCUCUCUGAUACUAAAUUUUCCCCAUGUGCUAAAGAUCGUACAAGAAGAGGGUUGCAAAAUGAAGAGAAUAGAUUAAUUAUUAUAGUUAAUUAUAUUUCUUGGAAAAUCAACCACUGGUGAGACACCAAAACCCAGAGAAACUGAGGAAGUGGUUAUAUUUGCAUAUGCAUAGAAAUACACAUACAUGUUUGCAGAUAAAUAGAAUUUUGUCUAAUAUGGUAUGUACUAAAUUGUUAACAAUAGCUUCCUCUGGAGAGUGGAACUUAGUGUCAGAAGGAACAUCUAUCUUGUUUUUAACACUAUACAACAAACAUGUUUUAUUAUUUUAAUAUUUUUAAAGUGGUUAUUAAAGAGACCAAUGACUAGUUUGUGCAAAAUAAAAAGAAGCCAGGAAGAUUCUAUAAUAUUAAUAGAUCAGAUUUGAGGUGACACAAGCCUCAAACAGAAUUAAUUCAUCCAUGAUGAUUGAUGAAGAAACUUCCCUAUGGAAAGAAAAUAUGGAUUCCAUUCAAAGCACUUUAUUUUGGUUAUUUAGAAUAUUAAAAUAUACAUAUCCUCUAGCUGUCUUAGAAUUCUGAUUGAUUACUUAUGAAAACAUUUUCUCCUUCUAUGGUACAAUGUUAACAAUAAUACUUAUGAACUAGGCUGCUGUUUGAAGAUAGAUAGACAGAUGUGUGUAUGUAUCUAGAAAGUUAUAGUUACAUAUAGAGUGUGUGUGUGUGUGUGUGUGUGUGUGUGUGUGUGUGUGUAUUCCUUUAAUCCUGUCAUCAGCUCUAGAAAGUAUAAGUUAUCAUCUCCAGUUUAUAGUUGAGGCACAAAAAGGUUAAAUGAGUAGCCCAAAUCAAAAAAGACUAUAGCCAGGAUUCAAGUCCAAAGAGCCCCAGCCCAAAGCUUGUACUCUUGGCCACUCUUGUAUAUACUUCUUGAGAAAAAUAAAUGUAUUAAAAAGGACACCAA